This is a long non-coding RNA of Dermacentor andersoni, 2301 nucleotides long. RefSeq lists it as uncharacterized. The record is from RefSeq and is a predicted model, not a curated record. Lineage: Eukaryota; Metazoa; Arthropoda; Arachnida; Ixodida; Ixodidae.
CCGGCCCUCUCAAGCGAGAGCUUCACGUUUCCUGCUGCAAGUGCAGUUGCACUGCUGGUGUACGGAGUCAGUGCAAGCAUGCAGUGGUUGUAUGCCUCUACAACAGCUGUGAGGAGGACAGCUGCACAAGCCGACCUCAGCAGUGGGGAAAGUUCAGCCACAGCAAAGCCCCGGAUGCAGCGAUCACAAUACUUAUCAGACGUGUUCCCUCGUAGGUUUGAAUACCGUGGCAUCAGGAGAGGAGGCUUCACAUCAGCAAUACCAAGGCACACCUGAUUCGCACAAAAAAGAAUGACAGAAGGCUUCAUCAAGCUGCUCAGCAACUUCUGAAAUCUAGCUCUUACAAGAGUGCUGCCAUGUGCUAUGGUGCGUUUUUCACUACACGUUACCAAAAUGGAAAGAAUAAUCCUGGCCGCACUUGGCUAGUGUCAUGUGCCCUUAUUGGGUUAUACACAAAACCAUUAGUACUGAUUUUGUAUAGUGCUCUCACAAAAAUAUCAUUACAGGAAGUAAAACUGAAGGCAUAGCACGAGAGAACCUGGAAAGGAGGCUUGGAGCAAGUGUUGUGCUGAUAGGACUCCUUCCUUUUAUUGUGAAUAUAGCGUUAUUCCCAAACCUCAUUGUCAUAUCUUUGUAUUUUCUAGACUAGACUCGUGGUCCUUCCUGAGGAACCUUGGUUGCGCUGCAGCGCUGACGCACUUGUACAGCUUCGUAAUCAGACUGUCCUAAUUGAAAUCAAGUGACCACAUAAAUUCAAGGAUUCACCAUUUAUUAAGUACGAAGGACGGUACUGUGAGCUUCCAUAUUUGAUAGUCAUUGAUGAGAUAAUUGAAUUAAGAAAGUCACAUCAAUACUACACUCAGUUGCAGGUCCAGAUGUAUAUUCUUCAUUUGCAGAAAGUUUUGCUCUUUGUGUAGUCAAAUCAGUCUGUCAUAAUUGCUGUGAAGAGGGAUGAAGCGUUUUUGUGGGAGCUCAUACCUAAAAUGGACUAUUUUCUUUCAAGCUUUUUCCUGCUUUGUUCUAGCAUUAUUUCUCCUGUUUCUAUCGUGUGUUUUUCUGUUUGGGUUCACAAUUUUAAAGAGAUAUUCUAUCAAGUAUUGCUGCACUCUACAAUAGCAUCACUUCCACAAAAUUUUUUGUGUCCUCCUAAUGUGAUAUUUUCUCUUUGCUUUAAAAAAUCCUUAUUUUUGUAUGCACUUUAAAAGUUCAAAAGGAUGUUCUAAACUGCAGUAUUUUAGUCUACAUGGUAGUUGUCAGAGCUUUGAAAAUGCGGUGCUUUUAUUUUAAUUGAAUGUGUAAUAAGUUUAGUCAACAUGUAAUAUUUUAGUGCCACGCAAUUCUGGAGGAAAAAUUUGUAUUUAUUUAUUUCUACCACGUCUGACGUUUUUUGGUUUGAUGAAUACAGGUAGGAAAAGUGGAAGAGUGCGUUUUAUUAUGUUACUAUAUAUUGAGUUGGCAUGAGAUAUCCCAGAGCUUUGAAAAUGUGAGUACAGUGCAUUCAUAAUGAUUGGUAUGUGUCUGGUCUACAUGCUAUAUAUUUGUGUCACACUGUUCUGGAGAAAUAUUUGCAUUUAUUUAUUUUAUCAUUUGUGAUGUUUAUAGGGUUUACUACAUCCAAGUGGUGUUUAGGUCUACAUUGCUAUCGGUUGAGUUGGCAAUGACUAAGCCGCAGCUUCGAAAAUAUGAAUACAGUUUCUCCAAUAUAUAGUUCAAGAUGCCUAACCUAUAUGAAAUAUUUUGUAGCGUCACUUGGUUUGAGAAACAUGUGCAUCUAUAUAUUUUAUCCUUUGUGAUGUUUUUAAAGUUGAUCAAUCCAGGUAGAAAAAAAUCGAUGAAUAUGUUUUUGCUAAUGUUACUACCUGUUAACUGGGCACAGAUACGCCAGAGCUUUGAAAAUGUGGCUACAGUGCCUUUAUGGUUUUCAAAGUAUCUAGCCUGUAUGCGAUGUUUUAAUGUUGCUGUAUCUAGUCUUAAUAAAGUAUGAAAUUACUAUUACAGUUUAGUUUGAAUUAUGCUAAACCUAUAAAAAUGUGAAGAUGUGUAAUGAACUUAGAACACAGGGCUUACCAAACUUACAUAUACCAAGCUUAAAGGCAGUAUUCUUAGUGCAGAAAUAUUGCUAAUGUUGCCAAUGUGCAGUUGCUACCUGCGCAUGGCAUAGAGUUUAUUUUUUUCAAUGAAGUCACAUUAAUAUUUGUUUUUGUCUUAACCAUUGCAUUACUACACAGUUGGCAUUGCAAGAAUUGACUAUACUUGGAAUUCUUCAGGUUACAACAUUUCAUAAACUUUUGUGAUUUCAUA